Molecule: unclassified non-coding RNA, 246 nt
Filed under: Hevea brasiliensis (rubber tree)
Lineage: Eukaryota; Viridiplantae; Streptophyta; Magnoliopsida; Malpighiales; Euphorbiaceae
Source: RNAcentral
GGAGAUUGCUCUAUUGAUUCUGUCUCCUGAAAAUAUAGGUGGGAUAGAUAAGUUAGUCACAGUUCUAGUUCUAAAUAAAUCAUAUAAAGAGGAUAUGCUUCAGAGAUGAUGUCUGUAGCAACUUAAACAGAACAUUAGAAAUAAGAAUCAAACAGAACCUCUUUGCAUGAUGAUGUCUGAAAAACUGAUAAAUUCCCCUGAAAGUCUUCAAAAUGAACUAGAAAGAAAGUUCUGUGACUAAAAAAU